GGCGGAGUAGCUCAGGUGGUUAGAGCAGCGGAAUCAUAAUCCGCGUGUCGGGAGUUCAAGUCUCUCCUCCGCUACCA
RNAcentral lists this transfer RNA (77 nucleotides) under Aquisalinus sp. RNAcentral's name for it is "tRNA-Met". It matches the Rfam family "tRNA". From Rfam's summary of the family: Transfer RNA (tRNA) molecules are approximately 80 nucleotides in length. Lineage: Bacteria; Pseudomonadati; Pseudomonadota; Alphaproteobacteria; Parvularculales; Parvularculaceae. RNAcentral also lists the same sequence under 2 other names. The record is from RNAcentral.